This 3156-nucleotide long non-coding RNA is filed under the name Homo sapiens (human). RNAcentral's name for it is "HSALNT0396692". The record is from RNAcentral. Lineage: Eukaryota; Metazoa; Chordata; Mammalia; Primates; Hominidae.
UGUGAUAUUUCACUUAAUCCUAGCACCUAGGUGAUGUAACACUUCUCUUUUGUCUGGACACUUGCAUAUUUUUGGUAGUGUAACAUAUCACUUGGCCCAACACCUAGAAUAUAGGAGGUUUCUGCCAGGGCCCUGCCUACAGGGGGGCCUGUGACAUAUUUCUCCUGGCUGUGGAACCCAGUACCUAAGAAAUGUACCUCUUCUGCCUGCAGUUUGCCAAUAAGAAAUGUUAUGAUAUAUUGAUGGGUCCAGCAACCAUGUGAUAUAUCUCUCCUGCUUUGGCCUCAUCAACAGAGAGCAUUGUGACAUACCCGCGAGCCAAGCACACAGAUGAUGUUAUUCUGCUGCCUGUGCCCUGCUUUCAGGAGUGGAUUGCAAUGUAACACUGGCUGAGUACCCAGGUUAAUGACACUGUUGCCUGGUCCCUGUUCUCAGGGAAGACUGUAAUAGACCCCUGACCCAAUAUCCAGGGGACAUUGUGACAUACUUCUUGGCCAUGAACCCAGGUUAUGUGAGCCUUUCUGUGCCCUGCCCAUGUGGACAAUUGUGACAUAUUACCGAGUCCUACACCCAGGCGAUGCUACUCUCCUGUCUGGUCCUUGCCUACAGGGAACAUUGUGACAUAUCUCUUUGCCAUUCAUCCAGGUUCUGCCCACAGGGAAGAUUGUGGUGAAUUACUGAACGCGAUACCUAGAUGAAGGAGAGACUAUAACAUACCUCUUGGCCCAGCACCUAGUUGAUGUAACUCUGCUCUCCUGCCUGGGCCACACCUACAGAAGAAAGAGUGACUUCUCACUGGGCCAGCACACAGGUCAUGUUAUUUUACUGCCUUGAUCCUUGUCCACAAUAAUCAUUGUACAUAGUUUUGGGCUCUUCUACUAGAAGACGUGCGGGAUGGUUAAAUAUCACUGGACCUAGCACCUAGGGAAUGUGACUCUUGUCUUUUGCAUCAGCCCCACUCGUUUUGAGAACUGUAACAUAUCACUGGGCCAAACACCUAGAAGAUGGGAAGUGUCUGCCUAUGCCCUGCAAACAGGGCUUUAGCCCUACCACUCUCAAGAGCCUCGUGACAUAUCUCUGCAUUCAUCAUCUAGGAGAUGUGACUCCUCCCUGCUGCCUGCGCUCUGCCUACAGGGAAGACCAUAACAACAUUUGGCCCAGCAACACGGUGAUGUGUUUUUUCCCAGGGCCUUGCUCACAGGGAGCAUUGUGACAUAUCACUGGAACCAGCAUCCAGGGCUGUGACUCUGUGUCCUGCUGUUAGAACAGGAUUGUAACAUAUCACUGACCAAGCACCCAGGUGAUGUGACUCUUCUGCCUGGUGCCUGCCUUCAGGGAAAAUUGUGACAUAUGCCUGGCCUAGCACCAAAGUGAUGUGGCUCUCCUGCUACCUCUAUGCACAGGUGGGAUUGUGACAUAUACCUUCAUUCAGCUCAUAGGUGAGGUGAUAACUCUCAUACCACAAACCAAACAGUAGGAGAGAUGCUGUCUGUCAAAGCUAAGCUUACAGAAAUACACAAGAUUCAGGGACUUUUCUUUGUAUAAACAUUAUAGUAGAUUACUGCUCUCUUGUAUAUAAUAUAAACUUCUCAGGUGGUACAGAGAGUGUCAUCACAGGGCCCAGCGCACAGGUGAGAAUACAUUAUUUGUAUGCACGCCCCACCACCCAUUAGGAUUUUCACCCUCAAACAUGGAAAGAGCCUACUGGUAAGGUCUUGAAUCUCACACCUGGAUGCAGUCUACAGUUGAAAUUGUGAUUGUCAUAGGUGAAUAUCCAGCUGCAGUUGAGAUGGUGACUCAUUUCUAACUUAGCUCUGAGGCAGGUGAGGACUGUUUUAUUUGGAACCAGCCAAUUAUAAAGAUGUUGACUCUCAUAUUUGAGCUUAGUUCUACAGGUACAAUCAUGGGUCCAUAACAUCAUGAAGGUCAUAGAGCAGUUUGCAACUCUCAUUAAUACUGUAGAAGGCUCUUGGGUGGUACUGAGAGGGUCUUAGCAGAGCCCCGCACACAGGUGAGAUUGUGACACUCAUAUGCACACCCAGCCAACAAUAAAACUUUUCAUCUUUCCACAUGAACACAGCCCACUGUUGAGGUCCUGAGUCUCCCUUGUGAAAACAGUGCAAAGUUGAAAAAUUGACUCUUAUAUGUGGAUUUGGUUCACAGAUGGGUUGGUGAUGCUCAGACAAAUAUUCAGCACACCUGUGAGUCUGCGACUCCAGUAAUCAUCCACAGUCUGCAGGAGAAAUUGAGGCUCUCACCAACAAAUCAAGUGCACAAUUGAGAUUGCGACUCUUGUACUCAGACCCAACAUACAGAAUGUGUUGACUCUCAAUUUUAAAACCAGAACAUGUGUGAGAUUAUUAAUCUGAUCUCUAAACCAUCCUGCAAGUGUGAUUGUGACACAAGUCUCUGUUCAGUACUUGAGUGAUUUGACUCCUUUGCCUGGGCCCAGUCCAAAGAUGUAAUUGUGACAUAUCACUGAAACCAGCAUAUAGGAGAUGUGUCUCCAUACUCCUGCCUUGGUGCUGCCCACAGUGGGCACUGUGACAUAUCACUGGGCCUUGUAUCCAAGUGAUGACUGCCUGCAGGGGAUAUGGUGACAUUUUACUUUGCCCAGCACCAAGAUGACUUGAAUCUGCUGCCUUUGUUCUACUUUCAGAAGACAUUGUGACAUAUCGCUGGGCCUAGCACCAAGGUGAUGUGAAUCUUCUGCCUGGACCUGCUCACAGAGGGAAUUGUUACAUAUUUUUGACUUCAUCAACUAUUUGAUGUGACUCUCCUCUCUAACCUGGGCCUUGCCCAUAAAAAACAUUGUGGCUUAUCUCUGGGCCCAAAACCUAGGUGAUGUGACUGUCUUCUUAGGGUCAUGCCCACAGUAGAGAGAUGCCUUAUUGCUAAACCCAGCACACAGGUGAGGUGAUUCUUCUGUCUGGUCCCUGCCCACAGGGGUCAUGAUGACAUCUCUCUAAGCCCAUCACCUAGAUUAUGUGAGUUCUCUUUUUCUUCUGUUAGCUAUAUAGAAGAUUGUGACAUAUUGCUUGGCCCAGACCUCAUGUGAUGUGAAUCUCCUCUCAUGCCUUGGUCCUGUUUUUUUUUGGCCGUUGUUGUUUUGUUUUGUUUUUUGAGAUGGAGUCUUGCUCUGUUGCCUAAGCUGGA